CGGCGGGCCAGGCCGGGGUGCAGAGCUUGGCUGUCUUCCGCGGAGAGCGAGAUCCCGUUUCAAAAUCGCAAAACUGUGGGGGAGGAUGAAGGCGAGACUUUCCCAAACCAUCCUGGGCACCAAAGAAGGUAGCGCCACUCAGUCUUCUUUGUUGUUCUCAAUGUAUCAAGCAAAACUAUUUCUAAGCCCACAUAUUCGUGUGUCAUAGUUCAGGGACACAGGUCAGCGACAAACUUCCAUGCUAUUACACCCAAAGAGAUUCUUUAGAGUGCAAAAUCACUCUGCACUCUGAAAGAUACCAGCCUUCCUCUUCUCAAAAUCUUUCGUGGAAUCAUAAUUUCUGUAGAAAUCCGCCUAUGCCUUGCCUGGUUCAGCCACAGCAAACUUACAGAGAGCUGCAACCCCAGGGAUACAACGAAUGCUUCAACAACGUGACGCGGCAGAAGCCUGGCCAGAAGGCCACACACCUGAGAGUUCGUCGAAGGGCUGGAAGCCGUGAGAGUGACAGUCCUCGAGACAGGGACUCGCUGUUACCCAGGAUGGAGUGCAGUGGCUAUUCACAGGUGCAGUCAUUAAGCACACUGCAGCCUCGGACUCCUGGGCUUAAAUGACCAUCCUUCCUCAGCCUCCCAAGUAGCUGGGAUUACAGAUGCAUUCCACCACACCCAGCUUGUAUCAACUUUUAAAUGACAGACUUCCUGUUAAAUUCAUUCACAUCAAAUAAGUUCCUCAAUUUACAGACCACAAUACCAAAAUCUGAUGAAGAUUAAAAAGCGAUAUAGACAACUUUUUGAAUGAAAAUAGUUUCAGCCCUCUCCCUCUCCCCCUCCCCCUCCCGCUUUCCACCGUCCCCCCUCUGAUGCCCAGCGGAGGCUGGACGGUACUGCCGCCAACUCGGCUCAUGGCAACCUCCCUGCCUGAUUCUUCUGCCUCAGCCUGCCGAGUGCCUGGGAUUGCAGGCACGCGCCGCCACGCCUGACUGGUUUUUGUAUUUUUUGGUGGAGACAGGGUUUCGCCGUGUUGGC
RNAcentral lists this long non-coding RNA (1025 nucleotides) under Homo sapiens (human). RNAcentral's name for it is "non-protein coding lnc-SETSIP-2:16". Lineage: Eukaryota; Metazoa; Chordata; Mammalia; Primates; Hominidae. The record is from RNAcentral.